Non-coding RNA from Taeniopygia guttata (zebra finch), 428 nucleotides. NCBI's taxonomy places the organism in Eukaryota, Metazoa, Chordata, Aves, Passeriformes, Estrildidae. The record is from RefSeq and is a predicted model, not a curated record.
GCUUGUGCAGGUUGUUUUCCCUUAUUGCUUGCAUCAUUGUGCAAAUAUCAAAGAGAAAGUGAAGCUGGCAAGAACACAGAGGUCUUGGAAAGGCAGCCUUUCCCAGGCAGCUUCUACAGAUGCCAACAAAUGACAGCAUGAGAUUCAUUCUUCAGCUUUCUGGAUGCUGUGCAUGCAUUAUGCAACACACAAUUUUCAAACUGGUUAAACAAACCACAAAUGUGAUCGUGUCACUAAGUAAAUUGAGCAGAAGGACCACCAAUGUCCAGAGCAGCAACUACUUACCCAACCUGGGCAUAACUGCCCCCAAGAACUGUUCAUCUUCCUGAAAAUGGUUUUCUUGUAGAGAUUCAAGCAGUUUCUGUAAGACAUCCUGCGGCACUUUGCAGCCUGUGCCCUUCAGUUCAGUGAAUCGCGUCAGACGGAAG